AAGAACCAACCGGGAUUGCCCUAGUAACGGCGAGUGAAGCGGCAAGAGCUCAAAUUUGAAAGCUGGCCCCCUCGGGGUCCGCAUUGUAAUUUGCAGAGGAUGCUUCGGGAACGGCCCCCAUCUAAGUGCCCUGGAACGGGCCGUCAUAGAGGGUGAGAAUCCCGUCUGGGAUGGGGUGGCCGCGCCCGUGUGAAGCUCCUUCGACGAGUCGAGUUGUUUGGGAAUGCAGCUCUAAUUGGGUGGUAAAUUUCAUCUAAAGCUAAAUAUUGGCCGGAGACCGAUAGCGCACAAGUAGAGUGAUCGAAAGAUGAAAAGCACUUUGAAAAGAGAGUUAAACAGCACGUGAAAUUGUUGAAAGGGAAGCGCUUGCGACCAGACUCGCCCGCGGGGUUCAGCCGGCACUCGUGCCGGUGUACUUCCCCGCGGGCGGGCCAGCGUCGGUUUGGGCGGCCGGUCAAAGGCCUCUGGAAGGUAACGCCUCUCGGGGCGUCUUAUAGCCAGGGGUGCCAUGCGGCCUGCCCGGACCGAGGAACGCGCUUCGGCUCGGACGCUGGCAUAAUGGUCGUAAGCGACCCGUCUUGAAACACGGACCAAGGAGUCUAACAUCUACGCGAGUGUUCGGGUGUCAAACCCGUGCGCGCAGUGAAAGCGAACGGAGGUGGGAACCCCCCGGGGUGCACCAUCGACCGAUCCUGAUGUCUUCGGAUGGAUUUGAGUAAGAGCGUAGCUGUUGGGACCCGAAAGAUGGUGAACUAUGCCUGAAUAGGGCGAAGCCAGAGGAAACUCUGGUGGAGGCUCGCAGCGGUUCUGACGUGCAAAUCGAUCGUCAAAUUUGGGUAUAGGGGCGAAAGACUAAUCGAACC
RNAcentral lists this ribosomal RNA (863 nucleotides) under Penicillium citrinum. Its description in RNAcentral is "eukaryotic LSU rRNA". It matches the Rfam family "Eukaryotic large subunit ribosomal RNA", at positions 56 to 941 of the family's 3401-position model. The record is from RNAcentral. Lineage: Eukaryota; Fungi; Ascomycota; Eurotiomycetes; Eurotiales; Aspergillaceae.